CACCCACUACCCGUCGGAUACCCGCCGAGACUUGAAAAUAACGAUAAAUAUUAGUUGAAUAAUAUAAUAAUUCUAUGAAGCUUGAGGACGAAUACGUAAGCAAAACACUACUAAUUCAUAAUAAAGUUAACCAAAUAAUAGGAGUAGCAAAUAAAGUAUAGUCUUAAUAGUUAAUACUUAAUAAAACACACUAAAAUAUUAGCUCUCUUCAUUCAUCAUCCUCAUUCUCAAGCUGACUCUGGUACACACACAAAUUACAAAGGUUACACAUAUGGAGUUGUGGGGCUAGGGGUCGGACGGAGCUCCCUUAUCACCCAAAUGAACUCUGUUAUUGG
This 335-nucleotide long non-coding RNA is filed under the name Salvia miltiorrhiza (redroot sage). RNAcentral describes it as "long non-coding RNA (SMIL_LNC010914)". Lineage: Eukaryota; Viridiplantae; Streptophyta; Magnoliopsida; Lamiales; Lamiaceae. The record is from RNAcentral.